GACGAACGCUGGCGGCGUGCCUAAUACAUGCAAGUCGAGCGGAAUGAAGAAGGAGCUUGCUUCUUCUGAUUUUAGCGGCGGACGGGUGAGUAACACGUGGGCAACCUACCUUGUAGAUUGGGAUAACUCCGGGAAACCGGGGCUAAUACCGAAUAAUCCAUUUUGCUUCAUGGCGAGAUGUUAAAAGGCGGCUUCGGCUGUCACUACGAGAUGGGCCCGCGGCGCAUUAGCUAGUUGGUAGGGUAAUGGCCUACCAAGGCGACGAUGCGUAGCCGACCUGAGAGGGUGAUCGGCCACACUGGGACUGAGACACGGCCCAGACUCCUACGGGAGGCAGCAGUAGGGAAUCUUCCACAAUGGACGAAAGUCUGAUGGAGCAACGCCGCGUGAGUGAAGAAGGUUUUCGGAUCGUAAAACUCUGUUGUAAGGGAAGAACACGUACGAGAGUAACUGCUCGUACCUUGACGGUACCUUAUUAGAAAGCCACGGCUAACUACGUG
This 500-nucleotide ribosomal RNA is filed under the name uncultured bacterium. Its description in RNAcentral is "bacterial SSU rRNA". It matches the Rfam family "Bacterial small subunit ribosomal RNA", at positions 28 to 507 of the family's 1533-position model. The record is from RNAcentral.